RNAcentral lists this unclassified non-coding RNA (4269 nucleotides) under Bombyx mandarina (wild silkworm). Its description in RNAcentral is "myosin-IIIb-like, transcript variant X4". Lineage: Eukaryota; Metazoa; Arthropoda; Insecta; Lepidoptera; Bombycidae. The record is from RNAcentral.
AUGCGAAGCGACAUGGCAUAUCGCGGGCUGUCCCAACAUGUGGAACUAGACCGAGCUGCCGAUCCUCGGGACAGAUUCACGUUGCAGGAGCUCAUCGGCGAAGGCACAUAUGGCGAAGUAUACUGUGCCAGAGAUAAAAAGUCUGGUAGACGUGUAGCAGUCAAGAUCUUGGAAAACAUAGCUGAAAAUAUAGAAGAAAUCGAAGAAGAGUUUCUAGUUUUUAGAGACUUGUCUAGUCAUCCGAAUAUACCGGAGUUUUUUGGUUUGUUCUUGAAACGCGGCGCCAGCUCAGACGACGACCAAAUAUGGUUUGUGAUGGAGCUGUGCACCGGUGGUUCGGUAACUGAUUUAUGUGCUGGAAUGCGAGCGCGCGGUACAAAUAUUACUGAACCACAACUUGCAUAUGUAUUGCGGGGAACAGUUCGAGCACUAACUCACCUCCACGCUCACCGAUGUAUGCAUCGUGAUGUCAAAGGUCAUAACAUUCUUUUGACGGAAGAUGCUGAGGUCAAACUUGUCGACUUUGGAGUUUCCUCACAUUUGGCUGCUACAGCUGCGCGAAGAAAUACUUCAGUCGGUACCCCAUAUUGGAUGGCACCUGAGGUUAUCGCAUGUGAACAACAAUUAGAUGAGUCAUACGACUGUAGAUGUGAUGUAUGGUCAGUGGGUAUAACCGCUAUAGAACUGGCAGAAGGCGAACCUCCUUUAUCGGGAUUACAUCCGAUGCGAGCAUUAUUUCAAAUACCAAGAAAUCCGCCACCCAGCUUGUCUCAUCCAGAAAUAUUUUCGCCACAACUUUCCGAUUUUGUAGCAGACUGCUUAAUAAAAGAUAUGAAUCAAAGACCAUUCGCGAGAGAGCUCCUGGAACAUCCUCUGCUUCUUGCAGUUAGUAGCUUUGAAGACAAGAUCCGGAAAGAGUUACAAGCUGAAAUAAAACGACAGAGAGCAGAAGGACGAAGUUGUCGCGCUCCUGACGCAACUACAAAAAGGGGAAAAUUGAAAUCACACAGAAAAGCAAAACCUGAAAAAAUGUAUACUGACGACUUGGCAACGCUUGAAGUUUUAAGUGAAGAUUCCAUUGUUGAACAACUACAGAAUAGAUACAAUCAAAAUCAAAUUUAUACAUAUAUUGGAGAUAUAUUAGUGGCUGUUAAUCCAUUCACUGAUAUCGGCAUUUAUAACAGUAAGACUCAACAGGUUUACCAAGGACGGUGUAGGUCGGAUAAUCCGCCUCACAUCUUUGCCGUAGCUGAUGCAGCCCAUCAAGCACUAAUGCAUCAAAAACAAAACCAGGCCAUAGUGAUAUCUGGCGAGAGUGGGGCUGGGAAAACUGAAUCAGCAAAUCUUUUAUUAAAACAUCUUGUCUUCCUGUCUAAGACUCAGAAUCGUAAUUUAGAAGAAAAAAUUCUCCAAGUAAACCCAAUAAUGGAGGCAUUCGGCAACGCUCGCACUGGAAUAAACGCGAAUAGUUCACGUUUCGGAAAAUAUCUAGAUAUGUCUAUACUGGGAGUUGGAAGAAUAUCAGGAGCAAGGAUAUCAGUCUACCUUCUUGAGCAGUCUAGAGUUGUACACCAGGCUUUAGGUGAAAGCAAUUUCCACGUGUUCUACUAUCUGUAUGAUGGCUUAGAGAGCGAGGGCCGCUGGAGAAAGUUUUAUCUAGAUGAGCAACUAAAAUCUAGACAUCGUUAUCUUCAGCCCUUAUCUGUGGUUCAUAGAGAGCACAAUGUUCAUCGUUGGCGACAGCUCAAUCAAGCCUUUAAAGUAGUUGGAUUUCUAGACGAUGAAGUACAAAUAUUAUACAAGAUGCUCGCGGCAAUAUUACAUCUCGGCGACAUAGAGUUCGGUGAAACAGCUGGCGAAGAUAAUACUGAUAACAGAGCAACUAUAAUAGACACUGCACCACUGCACAGAGCUUCUUGCCUAUUGGGAGUUGAAACAGCAGAUCUGCGUGAAUGUUUAACAAGUAGCACAGUGGUCGCCCGAGGCGAAACUAUAGCCCGUCACAGUUCACCCACUGAAGCUGCCGUUGCCCGAGACGCUACAGCUCGUGGUCUAUAUGCAAGAGCAUUUGAUAGAAUCGUCGAAAGAAUUAACGCACUCCUCUCUCAAAAUAGACACCGUCACGAUCAACUCUCCAUCGGCAUUCUUGACAUAUUUGGGUUCGAAAACUUCAACAAAAAUUCAUUCGAGCAGCUCUGCAUUAACAUUGCCAACGAACAGAUCCAGUAUUACUUCAAUCAACACAUAUUUACAUGGGAGCAACAAGAAUACAUGGCUGAAGGUGUUCCAGUUGAUCUUGUCGAAUUUUCCGAUAACAGACCUGUACUGGACAUGUUACUGUCAAGACCAAUGGGCUUAUUAGCUCUGCUGGAUGAAGAAAGUCGUUUUCCAAGAGCCACUGACAGAAGUCUUAUUGAAAAGUUUCAUAGUAAUCUCAAAAGCAAAUAUUACGUUCGGCCAAAAUCUGAUGCAAUUUGUUUUGCAAUCCAUCAUUUUGCUGGUCGAGUCGUGUAUCAGGCAGAUGGGUUCUUAGAGAAGAAUCGUAACUUUUUGCCUCCUGAAGUCGUUCAGCUGAUGCGACAGAGUCAAUUCGAUAUCAUACGGUUCUUAUUUCAAUGUCCAAUCACGAAGACAGGGAAUCUAUAUUCACCGCUACAAGGAGAUAUGGAUAGAAGCUUGGAAAGUCCUUCUGGGGACACUCGAGAUCGAUUUAACAGUCGAGGACUUGCAUCGCAAUCACGAGCCCAGCAAACAGUCUCAACAUACUUCCGAUACUCGUUGAUGGAGCUUCUACAGAAGAUGGUGAGCGGCACUCCUCAGUUCGUGAGAUGUCUAAAGCCGAACGACUCCAGAUCUCCAAAGCACUUCGAUCCGCCCAAAAUACUAAAACAGCUUCGAUACACUGGAGUAUUAGAGACUAUCAGGAUAAGACAAAAUGGUUUUUCCCAUCGAUUGAGUUUCGAAGAAUUCUUGAAGCGAUAUGGCUUUUUGGCUUUUAGUCAUGAUGAAGAAAUAAAGCCCAGUCGGGACACAAGUCGUCUACUGCUGCUCAGAUUGAAGAUGGACGGCUGGGCCCUCGGCAAAUCCAAAGUGUUCCUCAAGUACUACCACGUUGAAAGACUCGCCAGAAUCUACGAGGAACAGAUAAGGAAAGUGAUCCUGGUGCAAGCCUGCGUCAGGGGGUGGCUGGCUCGCCGCUACGUGGAGCGGCUGAAGGUACAGAUGGCCAUCUCGGUGCUGACCCUCCAGCGACACGUGCGCGGUUGGCUCACCAGAAAGCGAAUCCGCGACCGACAGCGUCAGCUAGCCAGGGAGUUCCACGAUGAACAGAUGUGCGACAGUCAGGGGAUGCACAAAUCUGGUGCUCCGCUUAAAAACAAAGCGAUGAUGAAAGCCAAGAUACUAAGGAAAAUGACAUCACAAGACGGGGAAACAAACAAAGCGAAUUCCGGAAACAAAGAGAACAUCGACACCAAUAGAGCAGCUGUCGUUAUACAAAGUCAUUUCCGUGGGUAUACAGCCCGUCGCAAAUGGGCGAAGGGACGCGCUCCUCCACCCCCCGCGCACCCGCCACCCGCUGUGCCCUCCACGCCUUCUUCGCCGCACCAACAACUCAUGCAACAGUACUCAAUUCAGGAACGAGCAUCCCAACUACAGACUUUCGCAGAACAAGUCCACAACAAAAACCAAGAAGUCCACAAGAACCUACGUCACAACAAGCCCGGCAUCCGGCUACAGUCAGUUCAGCGUCCGCCCGAAGAGUACCGAGCGCCUCCCGGCUUCACACUCGUCCCAUCCAUCGUACGAGGACAACCGUCACAAAUCGAACAAGACGCCAGCAGACUCUCUAGUCCAUCACCUGAAUUUUUGGAAAGUCCUGCGAAGCCGUGGGAUGAGCCGCUAAAAAGCAAAAUAGAUUAUGACCUAACAUUAAGUCGGAACAGGUAUCAGCAAGUGAGCAACGGACACGAACCAGUCGUGGAAGAACGUCAUCGCCAAUCGAGUCAGAGCCGGCAGAAUUUACCGUGCAGCCGUCAAUGCAGCGGCCUCGUCAGGUACGAGAACUAUGUCGCCAACUACUGGCCCUGAUUAUAAUUAAGUACAUUUACGUUUCUCUCGCAUGUCUUACUCACUAACCGGAUCAAUAGAAACGAUGGCAACAAGAUUAGCGAACUGGUCCGGAACUCUCGUAAGGCGGAGCCUCCGAAGCCCGUAUACAAUAUCACUCACGAUCCGGAAUCAACACUACGAAAGAUCCUUCGCAACUCC